RNAcentral lists this ribosomal RNA (464 nucleotides) under uncultured Klebsiella sp. RNAcentral describes it as "bacterial SSU rRNA". It matches the Rfam family "Bacterial small subunit ribosomal RNA", at positions 338 to 795 of the family's 1533-position model. Lineage: Bacteria; Pseudomonadati; Pseudomonadota; Gammaproteobacteria; Enterobacterales; Enterobacteriaceae. The record is from RNAcentral.
CCUACGGGUGGCAGCAGUGGGGAAUAUUGCACAAUGGGCGCAAGCCUGAUGCAGCCAUGCCGCGUGUGUGAAGAAGGCCUUCGGGUUGUAAAGCACUUUCAGCGGGGAGGAAGGCGGUGAGGUUAAUAACCUCAUCGAUUGACGUUACCCGCAGAAGAAGCACCGGCUAACUCCGUGCCAGCAGCCGCGGUAAUACGGAGGGUGCAAGCGUUAAUCGGAAUUACUGGGCGUAAAGCGCACGCAGGCGGUCUGUCAAGUCGGAUGUGAAAUCCCCGGGCUCAACCUGGGAACUGCAUUCGAAACUGGCAGGCUAGAGUCUUGUAGAGGGGGGUAGAAUUCCAGGUGUAGCGGUGAAAUGCGUAGAGAUCUGGAGGAAUACCGGUGGCGAAGGCGGCCCCCUGGACAAAGACUGACGCUCAGGUGCGAAAGCGUGGGGAGCAAACAGGAUAGAUACCCUGGUAGUC